This 427-nucleotide ribosomal RNA is filed under the name uncultured bacterium. Its description in RNAcentral is "bacterial SSU rRNA". It matches the Rfam family "Bacterial small subunit ribosomal RNA", at positions 362 to 773 of the family's 1533-position model. The record is from RNAcentral.
UUGUUCGCAAUGGGCGCAAGCCUGACGACGCAACGCCGCGUGGAGGAGGAAGGGCUUCGGCUCGUAAACCCCUGUUGCCCGGGGCGAACAUCCCGUUUCGACGGGACUGACGGUACCGGGUGAGGAAGCACCGGCUAACUCCGUGCCAGCAGCCGCGGUAAUACGGAGGGUGCGAGCGUUGUCCGGAAUCACUGGGCGUAAAGGGCGCGUAGGCGGCCGAGCAAGGUCGCGGUGAAAGCCCGGGGCUCAACCCCGGGUCGGCCGUGGCAACUACUCGGCUCGAGCACUGUAGGGGCGGGUGGAAUUCCGGGUGUAGCGGUGGAAUGCGUAGAGAUCCGGAAGAACACCGGUGGCGAAGGCGGCCCGCUGGGCAGGAAGGCUCGCAAGAGCCGGCUGACGCUGAGGCGCGACAGCGUGGGGAGCAAAC